GCAAGUCGAACGAGAAAGGGAUUGCUUGCAAUCCUGAGUAGAGAGGCGCACGGGUGAGUAACACGUAGAUAAUCUGCCUUCAAGCCUGGGAUAACUAUUCGAAAGGGUAGCUAAUACCGGAUAAAGUCGAUUCACAUAAGUAAAUUGAUGAAAGAUUGCCUCUUCUUGAAAGCAAUUGUUUGGGGAUGAGUUUGCGUACCAUUAGCUUGUUGGUGGGGUAAAGGCCUACCAAGGCAACGAUGGUUAGCUGGUCUGAGAGGAUGAUCAGCCACACUGGAACUGGAACACGGUCCAGACUCCUACGGGAGGCAGCAGUGAGGAAUUUUGCGCAAUGGGGGCAACCCUGACGCAGCAACGCCGCGUGAGUGAAGAAGGCCUUUGGGUCGUAAAGCUCUGUCAACAAGGAAGAAAUUACAAUUAUUUAAUAGAUAAUUGUAUUGACGGUACUUGUGGAGGAAGCGCCGGCUAACUCCGUGCCAGCAGCCGCGGUAACACGGGGGGCGCAAGCGUUAUUCGGAAUUAUUGGGCGUAAAGGGCGCGCAGGCGGUCUUGUCCGUCAGGUGUGAAAGCUCGGGGCUCAACCCCGGAAGCGCACUUGAAACAGCAAGACUUGAAUACGGGAGAGGAGAGAGGAAUUCCUGGUGUAGAGGUGAAAUUCGUANAUAUCAGGAGGAACACCGAUGGCGAAGGCAUCUCUCUGGACCGAUAUUGACGCUGANGCGCGAANGCGUGGGUACCGAACGGGAUUAAAUACCCCGGUAGUCCACGCANUAAACGUUGUACACUCGGUGUGGCGGAUAUUAAAAUCUGCUGUGCCCAAGCUA
RNAcentral lists this ribosomal RNA (824 nucleotides) under uncultured bacterium. Its description in RNAcentral is "bacterial SSU rRNA". It matches the Rfam family "Bacterial small subunit ribosomal RNA", at positions 57 to 854 of the family's 1533-position model. The record is from RNAcentral.